GAGCGAACAGAUAAGGAGCUUGCUCCUUUGACGUUAGCGGCGGACGGGUGAGUAACACGUGGGUAACCUACCUAUAAGACUGGAAUAACUCCGGGAAACCGGGGCUAAUGCCGGAUAACAUAUAGAACCGCAUGGUUCUAUAGUGAAAGAUGGUUUUGCUAUCACUUAUAGAUGGACCCGCGCCGUAUUAGCUAGUUGGUAAGGUAAUGGCUUACCAAGGCGACGAUACGUAGCCGACCUGAGAGGGUGAUCGGCCACACUGGAACUGAGACACGGUCCAGACUCCUACGGGAGGCAGCAGUAGGGAAUCUUCCGCAAUGGGCGAAAGCCUGACGGAGCAACGCCGCGUGAGUGAUGAAGGGUUUCGGCUCGUAAAACUCUGUUAUUAGGGAAGAACAUAUGUGUAAGUAACUGUGCACAUCUUGACGGUACCUAAUCAGAAAGCCACGGCUAACUACGUGC
RNAcentral lists this ribosomal RNA (462 nucleotides) under Staphylococcus sp. Its description in RNAcentral is "bacterial SSU rRNA". It matches the Rfam family "Bacterial small subunit ribosomal RNA", at positions 64 to 508 of the family's 1533-position model. Lineage: Bacteria; Bacillati; Bacillota; Bacilli; Caryophanales; Staphylococcaceae. The record is from RNAcentral.